UACGUAGGGGGCAAGCGUUGUCCGGAUUUAUUGGGCGUAAAGCGCUCGCAGGUGGUUCGUCGCGUCGUGCGUGAAAGACCCCGGCUCAACUGGGGGGCGUCGUGCGAAACGGGCGGACUGGAGGCCAGUAGGGGGAUGCGGAAUUCCGGGUGUAGUGGUGGAAUGCGUGGAGAUCCGGAGGAACACCAGCGGCGAAGGCGGCAUCCUGGACUGGUCCUGACACUCAUGAGCGAAAGCGUGGGGAGCGAUCCGG
RNAcentral lists this ribosomal RNA (253 nucleotides) under uncultured bacterium. RNAcentral describes it as "partial 16S ribosomal RNA". It matches the Rfam family "Bacterial small subunit ribosomal RNA", at positions 524 to 776 of the family's 1533-position model. The record is from RNAcentral.